RNAcentral lists this ribosomal RNA (338 nucleotides) under uncultured Pelotomaculum sp. Its description in RNAcentral is "bacterial SSU rRNA". It matches the Rfam family "Bacterial small subunit ribosomal RNA", at positions 1044 to 1382 of the family's 1533-position model. Lineage: Bacteria; Bacillati; Bacillota; Clostridia; Eubacteriales; Desulfotomaculaceae. The record is from RNAcentral.
CAUGGUUGUCGUCAGCUCGUGUCGUGAGAUGUUGGGUUAAGUCCCGCAACGAGCGCAACCCCACGUUUAGUUGCUAACGGGUAAAGCCGAGCACUCUGGACGAAACUGCCGUUGGCAAACGGAGGAAGUGGGGAUGACGUCAAAUCAUCAUGCCCCUUAUGUCCUGGGCCACACACGUGCUACAAUGGCCGGUACAGAGGGAAGCGAAGCCGUGAGGUGGAGCAAAUCCCAAAAAAGCCGGUCUCAGUUCGGAUUGCAGGCUGCAACCCGCCUGCAUGAAGUCGGAAUCGCUAGUAAUCGCAGGUCAGCAUACUGCGGUGAAUACGUUCCCGGGUCUU